This is a non-coding RNA of Silurus meridionalis, 546 nucleotides long. NCBI's taxonomy places the organism in Eukaryota, Metazoa, Chordata, Actinopteri, Siluriformes, Siluridae. The record is from the annotation of a RefSeq genome assembly.
AAAUGUCCUUCUCUGUUAUAUAUUUAAGCAACACAGACCAAGAGCUUUUACUGAUUCUGCUUCAACACACACCAUGAUCUCUACAUCACUACUGCUGCUGCUGCUGGCAGCCGUACACUGUGGUCUCUGUGUUGAGCUGAUCCAGAUCAGAUCCACAGUAUUAACCCCUUGUCAGUCACUGACUCUGACCUGUAAAGUGUCUGGAUAUUCAGUAACUGAUAGCAGCUACUGUACACACUGGAUACGACAACCUGCAGGAAAAACUCUGCAGUGGGUUGGACAGAUAUGUGGUGAUGGUAGAACUUUCUACAGUGAGAAACUGAAAAGCAGGUUUCAGGUUACCAGAGACACGUCCAGCAGCACAGUAACAUUAACAGGACAGAACAUGCAGACUGAAGACACAGCUGUGUAUUACUGCGCUCGUGAACCACGCAGUGAUACACAUCAACAACAUCCCUGUACAAAAAUUCCUCAUACAGUGUACAUUAUAACAGAAUGAUCAUGAGACACGACUAUUAUUGAUCUAAAUCUGUUUAAAAAUAUAUA